CCGGGUCGGGCGACCGCGGGCGGCUUGCCGCGCGAGGAAAGUCCGGGCUCCAUGAAACAACGGUGCCGGGUAACGCCCGGCGGGGGCGACCCCAGGGACAGUGCCACAGAGAGCAGACGGCCCUUCCUCGGGAGGGUCACGGUGAAAGGGUGCGGCAAGAGCGCACCGCGCGACCGGUAACGGAAGCGGCAAGGUAAACCCCACCGGGAGCAAGAUCGAAUAGGGGUGGCAUGGGAUUUCGGUCCCGGGGUGUGUUUCCACCCGUCGCCCGGGUUGAUUGCUGGAGGCGGCGCGCGAGUGCCGUCGUAGAGGAAUGGUCGCCCAAUCUCUCGUCGAGAGGUGGACAGAACCCGGCUUACAGACCCUCUGGUAUU
This 374-nucleotide RNase P RNA is filed under the name Sphingomonas sp. Its description in RNAcentral is "RNase P RNA component class A". It matches the Rfam family "Bacterial RNase P class A". Rfam says of the family: Ribonuclease P (RNase P) is a ubiquitous endoribonuclease, found in archaea, bacteria and eukarya as well as chloroplasts and mitochondria. Lineage: Bacteria; Pseudomonadati; Pseudomonadota; Alphaproteobacteria; Sphingomonadales; Sphingomonadaceae. The record is from RNAcentral.